UACAGAGGGGGCAAGCGUUGUUCGGAAUUACUGGGCGUAAAGUGUGCGCAGGCGGCCGCACAAGUCGAGUGUGAAAGCCCCGGGCUUAACUUGGGAAUUGCGCUCGAAACUACGUGGCUGGAGUGUGGCAGAGGAAGGUGGAAUUCCACGUGUAGCGGUGAAAUGCGUAGAGAUGUGGAGGAACACCGAUGGCGAAGGCAGCCUUCUGGGCCAACACUGACGCUCAUGCACGAAAGCGUGGGGAGCAAACAGG
RNAcentral lists this ribosomal RNA (253 nucleotides) under uncultured prokaryote. Its description in RNAcentral is "partial 16S ribosomal RNA". It matches the Rfam family "Bacterial small subunit ribosomal RNA", at positions 524 to 776 of the family's 1533-position model. The record is from RNAcentral.